UGAUUGUGCAUGUACGUACUGUAUUUUGACUUUUGUAUAGUUGGCCAGACGGCUAAUCUCUGUCCUGCAGACAAAAUAUUAUAUAAAUCACGUGAUAUAACCGGAACUGUUGAUAACCUUGGAUUGAUUACAGCAUCCAUUGUUUCCAAGAAAGCUGCUGAAAACCUCAAUGCUCUAGUACUGGAUGUGAAGAUGGGGAAGGGUGCUUUUUGUGAUGACAUGAAGAAAGCUACAGAUCUUGCUGAACGCAUGGUUAAUGCAGGGAAAGGUAUGGGAAUAAAAACAUCAGCUUUGAUAACGGACAUGAACUCGCCUAUCGGUUAUAUGGUAGGAAACGCGCUGGAGGUGGCAGAAGCUGUGGACUGUCUUCAUGGUAAUGGUCCUUCAGAUGUGACAGAAUUGGUGGAAAAUCUAGGUGCAAAGUUAUUGGUAUCUAUGGGACGUGCUGCUACAGCUGACGCUGGUCGAGAACGUAUCCGCCAAACGUUACAAGAUGGCACAGCUUUGGAUAAAUUUUGUUUGAUGGCGAUACGUCAAGGUGUUGAUGAAGCCGUAGUAAAGUCUUUACGUGAAGAUCAUUCUAAAGUAUUACCAAAAGCUAAAAUACAAACUCCGAUCAAAAGUGUGAAAUCAGGAACCGUUUGCUCUAUUGAUCCUAUGGUCUGUGCCCAGUUUGCCCAGUCAAUGGGAGCAGGAAGAUAUAAAUCAGAUGAUAUUCUGAAACUGGAAGUUGGUUUACAGCUGCUCGUCAAAGUUAAUACACAAAUAAAAGAAGGUGACCCGUGGGUUAUCGUUCAUCAUAAUGAUCAACUUCCCGAAUCCCAGAUUUCAUUCCUGAACAGCGCAAUUCAUGUUGGAACUAGCACUUUAAAUACCAGGAUUCUUAAAGUUAUAGAGUAGCACUGAUUUUUUUAAUUUGUACAAGAUCGAACAAAAUAUUUUGGACUAUUGUCUCGCUUGGUUAGUUUUUUUUUCCAUAUAGAUGUGUUCUUUUAUGACGUCACGCAGGUUACCCACAAUGUACUGUCCGUCAUCUUGAAUGGCAAUAACCAGUGCAACAUUCGUAUAUGAAAUUUUGAAAAUAGAUAUUAAAUACCAUUAGCUAUGUAAGGCCUAAUAUAUACCUUACAUAAUAAUAAUAAUAAUAAUAAAAACUUUAUUUAAUGAGGCAACGUAUUUAGUUUGCAAAAAAAAAACUAAUCUUCCAUAGGUCCCUCCUAAACUACAAAGACAUAUAUACAUGUAAUAUCAGGAUAAAUUUAAAAUCAUUAGAAAUGCAAUAGCAUUUUAAAGUGGGAAGUUUGAUAAGUCACUCCCAAACUACAAAACAUAUACAUUAUACAAGUAGAAUAUAGGAAGAACACUAUAAUUACACACAAAAUAAAAUAGAAUGCAGUUGCAAGUUAAAAAUAAUAAGUAUGUCAUCAGUUGAAUAUUAUGGUUCCUUCAGUGUGCAAAAUAAAUGAGUUAUUAAUAUAAUUUAAUAUAAUUUUAGAAAUCUCUAUAAACAUUAUUCUAUGAUCUUUGAUGUUUAUUAUUGUCAAUUUUUGUAUUGUAUGCUUUACCAUAUUCGUGUAUAUAUCAUGCAGUUGUGUAAUAAAACAUUAUUAUUAUUAUUA
This is an RNA transcript of Patella vulgata (common limpet), 1619 nucleotides long. RefSeq lists it as uncharacterized. The record is from RefSeq and is a predicted model, not a curated record. The transcript has 6 exons. NCBI's taxonomy places the organism in Eukaryota, Metazoa, Mollusca, Gastropoda, Patellidae.